RNAcentral lists this non-coding RNA (31 nucleotides) under Mus musculus (house mouse). The record is from RNAcentral. Lineage: Eukaryota; Metazoa; Chordata; Mammalia; Rodentia; Muridae.
UGUUCUAGUAGGUGAUGCCACAAAGGGCUUC